RNAcentral lists this ribosomal RNA (253 nucleotides) under uncultured bacterium. RNAcentral describes it as "partial 16S ribosomal RNA". It matches the Rfam family "Bacterial small subunit ribosomal RNA", at positions 524 to 776 of the family's 1533-position model. The record is from RNAcentral.
UACGAAGGGGGCUAGCGUUGCUCGGAAUCACUGGGCGUAAAGGGUGCGUAGGCGGGUCUUUAAGUCAGGGGUGAAAUCCUGGAGCUCAACUCCAGAACUGCCUUUGAUACUGAGGAUCUUGAGUUCGGGAGAGGUGAGUGGAACUGCGAGUGUAGAGGUGAAAUUCGUAGAUAUUGGGAGGAACACCAGUGGCGAAGGCGGCUCACUGGACCGGUUCUGACGCUGAGGCGCGAAAGCGUGGGGAGCAAACGGG